This 71-nucleotide ribozyme is filed under the name Rodentolepis nana. RNAcentral's name for it is "Hymenolepis nana HDV ribozyme from F. prausnitzii". It matches the Rfam family "HDV ribozyme from F. prausnitzii". Lineage: Eukaryota; Metazoa; Platyhelminthes; Cestoda; Cyclophyllidea; Hymenolepididae. The record is from Rfam by way of RNAcentral.
GGGGUGCGCAAUAGACUUACCUCCACGUGGUGCACCCUGGCAACGUAUACUUAUACGGCGAAAAGGUAUAC